GACGAACGCUGGCGGCGUGCUUAACACAUGCAAGUCGAACGGAAAGGCCCUGCUUUUGUGGGGUGCUCGAGUGGCGAACGGGUGAGUAACACGUGAGUAACCUGCCCUUGACUUUGGGAUGACUUCAGGAAACUGGGGCUAAUACCGGAUAGGAGCUCCUGCUGCAUGGUGGGGGUUGGAAAGUUUCGGCGGUUGGGGAUGGACUCGCGGCUUAUCAGCUUGUUGGUGGGGUAGUGGCUUACCAAGGCUUUGACGGGUAGCCGGCCUGAGAGGGUGACCGGCCACAUUGGGACUGAGAUACGGCCCAGACUCCUACGGGAGGCAGCAGUGGGGAAUAUUGCACAAUGGGCGGAAGCCUGAUGCAGCAACGCCGCGUGCGGGAUGACGGCCUUCGGGUUGUAAACCGCUUUCGCCUGUGACGAAGCGUGAGUGACGGUAGUGGGUAAAGAAGCACCGGCUAACUACGUG
RNAcentral lists this ribosomal RNA (468 nucleotides) under uncultured bacterium. Its description in RNAcentral is "partial 16S ribosomal RNA". It matches the Rfam family "Bacterial small subunit ribosomal RNA", at positions 28 to 507 of the family's 1533-position model. The record is from RNAcentral.